RNAcentral lists this small RNA (247 nucleotides) under Vigna angularis var. angularis. RNAcentral's name for it is "Non-protein coding transcript". The record is from RNAcentral. Lineage: Eukaryota; Viridiplantae; Streptophyta; Magnoliopsida; Fabales; Fabaceae.
GAAAAAUAUCAAAUUUGAAAGGAAGUUUCGAAGAUGAGGAGUUUGUUCAUUGGAAUUCUAUGCAUUGCCUUUAUCCUAAUUGCUUCAGGGCCAACAACAUGUGUAGGGCGUGUUGUCCUACCGCCGGGUAGCGUUUGCAUAGGGCCAUGCAACGGCGAUUGCGCGAAAGAAUGCAUUACGAGGGGAUUUCAUGGUGGAUCCUGUUUUCCUAUGUGUUGUUGUACUAAAAAUUAAACUAUCAUAUUUU